This 697-nucleotide ribosomal RNA is filed under the name uncultured marine archaeon. RNAcentral describes it as "bacterial SSU rRNA". It matches the Rfam family "Archaeal small subunit ribosomal RNA", at positions 102 to 802 of the family's 1478-position model. The record is from RNAcentral.
GGGUAACCUGCCCUAUGCUGGGAAUAACCUCGGGAAACUGAGAAUAAUGCCCCAUAGUCCACCAUGCCUGGAACGGUUGGUGGAUGAAAGCUCCGGCGGCAUAGGAUGGGCCUGCGGCGUAUCAGGUCGUAGGGGGUGUAACGUACCCUCUAGCCAUCGACGCGUACGGGUGUUGGGAGACAUAGCCCGGAGAUGGAUUCUGAGACACGAAUCCAGACCCUACGGGGUGCAGCAGGCGCGAAAACUUGGCAAUGCGAGAAAUCGUGACCAGGGAACUCCAAGUGGCUGGGGUAAGACCGGUGCUUUUCUUGACUCUUCAAAGGUCUUGGAAUAAGGGGUGGGUAAGGACGGUGCCAGCCGCCGCGGUAAUACCGGCGCCUCAAGUGGUAGUCGAUUUUAUUGGGCCUAAAACGUCCGUCGCCUGUUUGGUACAUUCGUGGGUAAAUCAACCAGCUCAACUGGUUGAAUUCUGCGAGCACGGCCAGACUUGGGACCGGGAGAGGUGUGGGGUACGCUCAGGGUAGGGGUAAAAUCCUGUCAUCCUGAGCGGACCACCUGUUGCGAAGGCUCCACACUAGAACGGAUCCGACGGUCAGGGACGAAGCCUAGGGGCACGAACCGGAUUAGAUACCCGGGUAGUCCUAGGUGUAAACGCUGUGGACUUGGUGUUGGGAAGGUUCCGAGCCUUCUCAGUGCC